RNAcentral lists this ribosomal RNA (288 nucleotides) under uncultured bacterium. RNAcentral's name for it is "partial 16S ribosomal RNA". It matches the Rfam family "Bacterial small subunit ribosomal RNA", at positions 773 to 1060 of the family's 1533-position model. The record is from RNAcentral.
GUGGAUUAGAUACCCUGGUAGUCCACGCUGUAAACGAUGUCGAUUUGGAGGUUGUGCCCUUGAGGCGUGGCUUCCGGAGCUAACGCGUUAAAUCGACCGCCUGGGGAGUACGGCCGCAAGGUUAAAACUCAAAUGAAUUGACGGGGGCCCGCACAAGCGGUGGAGCAUGUGGUUUAAUUCGAUGCAACGCGAAGAACCUUACCUACUCUUGACAUCCAGAGAACUUUCCAGAGAUGGAUUGGUGCCUUCGGGAACUCUGAGACAGGUGCUGCACGGUCGUCGCCAGCU